Molecule: ribosomal RNA, 432 nt
Filed under: uncultured bacterium
Lineage: Bacteria
Description: partial 16S ribosomal RNA
Rfam family: Bacterial small subunit ribosomal RNA
Source: RNAcentral
ACGAACGCUGGCGGCAGGCCUAACACAUGCAAGUCGAGCGAGAUCUUCGGGUCUAGCGGCGGACGGGUGAGUAACGCGUGGGAAUAUGCCCUUCUCUGCGGAAUAGCCUCGGGAAACUGAGCGUAAUACCGCAUACGCCCUUUGGGGGAAAGAUUUAUCGGAGAAGGAUUAGCCCGCGUUGGAUUAGGUAGUUGGUGGGGUAACGGCCUACCGAGCCGACGAUCCAUAGCUGGUUUGAGAGGAUGAUCAGCCACACUGGGACUGAGACACGGCCCAGACUCCUACGGGAGGCAGCAGUGGGGAAUCUUAGACAAUGGGGGCAACCCUGAUCUAGCCAUGCCGCGUGAGUGAUGAAGGCCUUAGGGUUGUAAAGCUCUUUCAGCUGGGAAGAUAAUGACGGUACCAGCAGAAGAAGCCCCGGCUAACUCCGUG